Non-coding RNA from Cricetulus griseus (Chinese hamster), 6079 nucleotides. NCBI's taxonomy places the organism in Eukaryota, Metazoa, Chordata, Mammalia, Rodentia, Cricetidae. The record is from RefSeq and is a predicted model, not a curated record.
GCUGCGAGGCCAAGGCGAUUGGAGUGCUCUUAAAACUGGAAGUGGCCCGGGUGCCCGCUCACUCUUUGCUUGAAUGGCUAGGGUAUUCUUCAAAUUGAGGGGAAAAAAAGAAAAAAAGAACUCUGCGUAGCCACUCGAACGAUAACAUUUUCCAGCGUGAGGCAGGUGAUGGGUGUAUGUGUGAUUGCAGCUUCGCCAUUAAACCGAUCAGUCGCCAGGUUAGUCCUGGCCAUGCAAAUAAAGCGGCGCAUUGUCCACGUGCUUAAGGGCUUAACUAUUCCAGCUGGGCAAGUUCUCCAGGAUCAACUGACUUCUCGUUAUAAUUCGUGCUCGCACUGUAGCGGUUCUGUUGAAUUGGGAUGCACAGAUAAGAUCAAAUAAUUAAUGCUGUAACUUUCAGCAAGUUGUCUUGCCUUUAUACAAACUCACCUCCCCCUAAAUACUGUAACAUGCCAGCACUUUUUUUUUGUAGUACCAGUAUAUGUGCACUUACGUAUAUGAACAAUCAUGUAUAUAAUUUUUAGCCAUUUAAUUUGAGUUUAAAGUUAGAAAAUUAUAAACUGUACUACGAGUUUGUCAGGACAGUGCCAGAUGUUCAUAGAUGUUUUAUAUCAGUUCAUUUUCAAGGGUAACUUUUUGCAUAAGUAUAGAAUGUUCACAGUUUUUCAACACAUGAGUUUGAUUUGAAUGCAUCACUAUAUAGAAUGUCUACGUUAAAUAAUUAUUUCUUCUGUGAAAAUAAGGGUGUUGAUUACAUAAAGCAAUCCAAGUUAGUGUGUUUUUAAAAGUUCAUAGAAUUGCAGUUAAUCCCGUUGGGUAUUAAAUAGUUUACAGAGCCUUGUAGUUCUUACUUAUCCAAGUGCCCAUUACAUAAUAUGGCCAGAAAAUGAACACGCUACGGUGUGCAUCAGGCAAAGGUACCAACAGCCAUAGUGACCCUUACUCAAAGGGUCAUUCUUUGUAUUUCUUAGUAAAGUUCCUAACUAAGGGCAAAUGUGUGGCAUGAUUUUUUUUUUUUCAACACCAAACUAUGAAAACAAACAGUGAGUAGGCUGUCAGAUUUUUCUGAAGUGUCUGUUUCUUUUUCUUUUUAGAUAGAGUCUCACUAUGUAUCCCUGGCUAGCCUGGAUCUAUGUAGACCAGGGUAGCCCUGAACUCAAGAGACCUGACUUGCCUCUGCCUCCUGAGUGCUGGGAUCAGAAGUGUAUACUGCUAACACUUGGCUAGGAGGUCAGGGUUUCACUGAGCAUUUGAAUAUUUAGAAUGUUAGAUUUUCUGUAUUGUGUGUAGUUGUAAAAGUUUUACGUGCCCAGCCAGGCGGUGAUGGUGCACACCCUUAAUCCCACCACUGGGGAAGCAGACACAGGCGGAUUUCUGAGUUCAGGCCAGCCUGGUCUAUAGAGUGAGUACCAUGACAAAAAGUUUUAUAUGCCUAACUUUUUAAUUCGGAUUUAAGUAUCUUAAAGCACAUAUUCAGUAUUAUGUCCAAUAUAAGAUUAGAAUAUAUUUAUAAAGACACAAUGUAAUGAUUUAUGUAGCCAUAACAGUUCAAGAAACUGAUUUGUGAGGGCGGCGGUAGAUAGUCUUGGAUCAUAAGAUAGAAAUGGCUGGGACAAUUAGACUGAGGGAAGUGGUUGGAAGCUUGAGGGUAAUUAGCAUAUGGGAACUUAUCAGAAAAUUCCAUUGGGAAGAAAUAAAAGUUGGGAAAGCUUUGUUAGUUGGUGUUUACCAAAGGGUUUCUUUACUUGAGGAUGUUGUCUUGGGGGAGGGAGGUAAGUUGUCUUUUGAGGGAAUACUUCUUUGUGUGAAUUAUUCUUACUACCACAUAGGUGCCUCUUCAAGCGCUUUGCAAUCUUUGAGGUUUGGGGGCCAGCCAUUGGCAGAUGAAAGAAUGAAAGCGGGGAGACAUGUUAGUGAUAAGGAAUCCCCCAAACAGACAGCUACACGGGCAAGGCUUUCCUGUGGGCAAAAUUGGAAAUAUGAGCAAAAUCUACCCCAGUAAUAGUGACAAUGGAUUUGUAAAUCUCUCUUGUCAUUUAUAUCAAAAAAUAUGGAGACUGUUCCCUUAAAGUAUACACAAUUGAAUAGAUUCAUGAUACAAUACAAUGCAUGAGAAAUUACUAAAGUAUUCAAGUCAGCCAUUUGUAUACAUUUAUCACACUUGUGAAGUUGUGGUGACUGUAGCACAGUCACAGCUUCUGUCUUUUAAGUCAUCCCAGACAUGACAGGAAGCUAGGCCUGUCUCAUUCUAGGCCUUUAAUGCCAGCACUCGGGAGGCAGAGGCAGGCAGAUCUCUGUGAGUUUGAGGCCAGCCUGGUUUACAGAGAAUUCCAGGACAGGCUCCAAAGCAAUGUAGAGAAACCCUGUCUUGAAAAGCAAACAACAAAUAACAAACAAACAAACUUAGCAUCUAGGCUGGAGAUGCAGCUCAAUGUAAAAAUUUGCCUCGUAUGCUUGCAACCCUGGGUCCUAUCCCUACCAUUGCCAAAACUCAAUGGAAAACUGGUCUCUGAUAUGGGUGCCCUUUAGCCCACAGACAAGCUAGUUUUGCUAUGAGUUGUUGCUUAUCUCCAGGGCCUAGAACUGAACCCGGCCAGGAAAUGCAUUUGUAGAAUAAACAUUGCAACAAAUGUAUCUGUUUCCUUUCCUUUAGGUCCUUCCUGCCCUUGUGAAUGGGCUACUCCAGCCUUACCUCUCUGUAAUUGAAUCCCACUACUCUUUGUCAAGUGUUUACACGGUACCAUUUGGUGUUUGGUUCUAAUGGCCUUAUGUUGUUAUAUUAGUGUUUCAUGUAGUUUUCUUCUUUACUUUAAGUACAUUUUUUUUAAAGGCUGUACCUAUUUAUACAGCACUAUUUAUUUAUUUAUUUAUUUACUUAUACAGCACUAUUUUAAGAAUUGCCUUAGCAUCUGGUAUGUCUAUACAGAGUUGGCUUGUAUGCACCUAUAGAGUAAAUACUAGUUAUCAUGGGAAAACAUUAAAUAAAUCUUGAACCAUAGAUAAUAUAUUAUUUGGGCAAACUUUGUGUACACUUAGGAAACAUUGUAGAAACUUAGUGCCGAAAAAUAAUAAAAGUAAUAUUUAUGCAGUGCUUAAAAUGUGUCUGCCACUGUCCCUAUCCCCUUUACAUGUUCAUUUAUUUGUGUCUCAAUAAUCUUUUGCUGAAGGUAGUUAUUGCCCUAUUUUUCAAAGGAGGAAAUGGAUGCACAGCAAAGCUUACCCAAGAUUUUGAUGUGCAUAAUAAAUAGAAUAGGUAGUCUGGCUCCCAGGUCAGCCAAGCUUCUCUGCCGAGUUUGCUUAUUUGUGUGGCAAAAGGGCAGGGGUCAGUUUGCCAGUGCACAGAGGCCAAAGAAAGAUGUCAGGUGGCCUUCUCUAUCACUGUCUGCCUUGUUCCCUGGAGACAGGUUCUCUCAUUGAACCUGGAACUGGGUUAUUGACUAACAAGCCCCAGUGAUCCCACAUGUCAGGGAUUUUUAUGUGGUGCUGAGGGAUGAGAACUCAUGGUUGCAUAACACUGAACCCAUCUCAGCCGGGUGUUGGUAGCGCACACCUUUAAUCCCAGCACUCGGGAGGCAGAGGCAAGCAGAUCUCUGUGAGUUCGAGGCCAGCCUGGUCUCUAGAGCAAGUGCCAGGAUAGACUCCAAAGCUACACAGAGAAACCCUGUCUUGAAAAACCAAAGGGAAAAUAAAACAAACAAACAAACAAACAAACAAACAAAAAAACCCCACUGAACUCAUCUGUUCAGCCUAGGAGUUUUAUCUUAUAAUUUAAACAAUCUAAAAAGUCGCGUUAUUUUUGCAGUUAUAAAAGAUGCUCGUGACUAGGGCUAGGGGUGGUGGGAGAAGUGGCUCAGUGAUUAAAAGCAUUUACGCUCUGGCUUGAAUUUGCUUCUCAGCACCUACUUGGUAGCCUAUACCCAUCCAUCGUAACUCCAGCUCCAGGAGAGCAAUGUUUUUUUUCUGCCCUCCAUGGCAACAGGCAUACAUGUGGCACACAUACACACAUGCAUGUAAGCAACCAUGCACAUUAAAUAAUAAAUGAAAUAGACACUCUUUUAAAUUUAUUUAUUAUUUAUUUAUCUAUUGUGGUGCUAGGGAUCAGAGCCUCAUGCAUGCCAAAGGACUGAUCUGUCACAUCCCCAUUCCAACCCUAAAGACGUUCUUUUAAAAAUUUCAAAGAUGGCUCAACAGGUAAAAUGGUGCUUGUGAACAAGACUGUUGACCUGAGUUCAAUUCCCGGGACUCGUUGUGGAAGGAGAAUACCAACUCCCAAAAGUAAUCUUCUGACCUAUAUACAAACACAAAAUUUCAUCAAUAUUAUUAUUAUAAUCCUUAAAAAGUUCAGGGUAGCAAAAAAAAAAAAAAAAGGAAUGACUACACUGCAGAAGUAUUUCUGAGUUUUCUGGGUGGAAGAGGGUGAUAAAAAGGUGCUCAUUGCAUUGCAGGGCUAGCUAAAGAUGAGGGUGGAGAAACUCAGUUUUGCCUCACAGCUGAGUAAAGAUGUUGAUCUUGGUGGCUGUUGGGUUCUAGGAUAAUGAUUUACCAGGACAAUGGCUUGUACAUCCUACUUUAGUGUUAGAAUACUGCUAAAUAAAACAACACCGAGUGACACAUCACAGUUUACUGGCUUCUCUUCUUAAGCACUUACUUUGUGGAAAUCAUUGUGGCAAUCUCCAGUGGUGUGGGUGUUACUGAAGUUGUCCUCAGGUUAGCUGCCCUCGGAUGGAAUUCUGACCCCACCUUUUCCGCUUGUAUUGAGCAAUAGAGAACACUCAAUUAGAAAAGGUCAGGAGUCCUCUUCUGACCAGGUUCUUUCCCUCUUUCUCUUUUUAAACAGUAGAACAAAAUGUAAAAUUUAGGUUGAUUUGGUCCGAACUUGGAAUAAAAUCAGAAAUGUGGCAUUAAGUGAGAGCCUAACAAACAAAAUCCAGCACAGUAAAGGAAAACCAUAUUCUCCCAAAACCUAUAUACGUACUCUUGUCCACACUUGAUCAACAGCUUUUGAAUGUUAGUCAGUGUGCAGAUAGAGAUUGCACAUCGCCUGACUGCUCUCCAAGAACCAAGAAGACAUCCCUUUAAAAUGAAGCAUGGGCCACAGGCCCGGCUAGCAGCCAGACUGGACAUACCCUAUGAAGGGAUCUUACCUUGAAAGCAGCAUGAUUGGCUUCCGUAUCAUCUUUGAAUAUCAGUGACAUUACUAGUUUUGUUCGGCAUGUCCUCAUAGAGACCAACAGACCAGGGUUAUUCUUUCAGGAAGUCUCUCAACGCCAGAAGUAGUGUAUUGGAUGUCUGCACAUGGACUGGAUUGCUCAUUGACUCAUAGAAAUAUUUGAAGGAUGGUAAACAGCUGAAGAAAGGAGGGUUUGAGGAAGCAACCCCAGCCCCCUUAUGGCUUUGCACAACUUGAAAGAAGACAAUUGUAGGAAUGAGUGAGAAGAAUUAUGGUCGUUUCUACAGUUAUUUCUAGACAUUCAUUAUCUUUGUGAACCCAUCCACUUGGUGCAUGGUAUUUGAGUUGCUUUCCAUGACUGUAGUAGUUGAUAAUCUACUUCUGAUCAGUUUUAUCUGUGGGUACAGAAGUCACAUGAAUAGGAGGAGAAACAGGAACCAUUCAUUGGGAUGUUGAUGCCCCCAUAUCCGCAGAAAUUGACUUUCAUUGAAUAAUCACUAAAGAGUGUGAAUUGUUUCUUUAUAAUGAUGCACAAAAGUGGGGUGCAAAUAAUGCAUACCUCAAAUGAGUCAGACCAAGUUUGACGAACAGAUGUUUUAAUAGGAAAGUACUCAUGUAACCAGUCAGUCCUCUAAACCAGGCGAACCAUGGAACAGAGAGAGCCACCUGCGUGAGACCUUCAUAUGUAAGGCAAGACCUUACAUAUGAAGGUCUCUGACCAUAUCCUAGUGUGCAUGGUCUUCGUCACCUGUGACAGCCCCCAAGAGGGUGUGGCUAACAUUUCCCCUACAAUGCACUCUUUCCUUGGAUGUUCUGUUUUUGUCUACUCAAGACAUUCUUUUGAAUAGGAUUUUAGCACUGAAGAUUUGAUAAUCAUACUUGGGGUGUUAAAAUAAAAAUUGAGCCAUU